RNAcentral lists this ribosomal RNA (137 nucleotides) under Pteropus vampyrus (large flying fox). The record is from RNAcentral. Lineage: Eukaryota; Metazoa; Chordata; Mammalia; Chiroptera; Pteropodidae.
GUGGCUGUACCAAUUUAAAUUCCCAUCAGCAGUGGAAGAUUUUUAAAAAGUUAAAUGAAAUCUCGGAAGCUAGGCAGAAUCGGGUCUGGUUAGUACUUGGAUGGGAGACCAUUUAGGAAUACCAAGUGCCAUAGGCG